This 98-nucleotide transfer RNA is filed under the name Dehalococcoidia bacterium. RNAcentral's name for it is "tRNA-Sec". It matches the Rfam family "Selenocysteine transfer RNA". The record is from RNAcentral. Lineage: Bacteria; Bacillati; Chloroflexota; Dehalococcoidia.
GGGGGCGAGUCGGUCCCGGUGGGCCGCGCGGACUUCAAAUCCGUUUGAGGGGCAUUAAGAGUGUCCCUGGUGGGUUCGACUCCCAUUCGCUCCCGCCA